CCGCAGUACCCUGACUGUGCAAAGGUAGCAUAAUCAGUUGGCUUUUAAUUAGAGUCUGGUAUGAAUGAAAAUAUGGGUGGUAGCUGUCUUUAGUAUAUUAGUUUGAAAUUAUUAAGCAAGUGCAAAUGCUUGCAAGUUUCAAAAAGACGAGAAGACCCUAGAA
Molecule: ribosomal RNA, 163 nt
Filed under: Helix borealis
Lineage: Eukaryota; Metazoa; Mollusca; Gastropoda; Stylommatophora; Helicidae
Description: partial large subunit ribosomal RNA
Rfam family: Archaeal large subunit ribosomal RNA
Source: RNAcentral